Molecule: ribosomal RNA, 636 nt
Filed under: uncultured bacterium
Lineage: Bacteria
Description: bacterial SSU rRNA
Rfam family: Bacterial small subunit ribosomal RNA
Source: RNAcentral
UAAAGAAUUUCGGUUAUCGAUGGGGAUGCGUUCCAUUAGUUAGUUGGCGGGGUAACGGCCCACCAAGACGACGAUGGAUAGGGGUUCUGAGAGGAAGGUCCCCCACAUUGGAACUGAGACACGGUCCAAACUCCUACGGGAGGCAGCAGUGAGGAAUAUUGGUCAAUGGACGAGAGUCUGAACCAGCCAAGUAGCGUGAAGGAUGACUGCCCUAUGGGUUGUAAACUUCUUUUAUAUGGGAAUAAAACAGGGUAUGCAUACCCUCUUGUAUGUACCAUAUGAAUAAGGAUCGGCUAACUCCGUGCCAGCAGCCGCGGUAAUACGGAGGAUCCGAGCGUUAUCCGGACUUAUUGGGUUUAAAGGGAGCGUAGGUGGAUUGUUAAGUCAGUUGUGAAAGUUUGCGGCUCAACCGUAAAAUUGCAGUUGAAACUGGCAGUCUUGAGUACAGUAGAGGUGGGCGGAAUUCGUGGUGUAGCGGUGAAAUGCUUAGAUAUCACGAAGAACUCCGAUUGCGAAGGCAGCUCACUGGACUGCAACUGACACUGAUGCUCGAAAGUGUGGGUAUCAAACAGGAUUAGAUACCCUGGUAGUCCACACAGUAAACGAUGAAUACUCGCUGUUUGCGAUAUACGGUAA